Trachemys scripta elegans is the source of this 1345-nucleotide long non-coding RNA. RefSeq lists it as uncharacterized. The transcript has 3 exons. The record is from RefSeq and is a predicted model, not a curated record. Lineage: Eukaryota; Metazoa; Chordata; Testudines; Emydidae.
GGGGGCCCCGCUCGGAGGGAAGGCUGAGGAAUCACGUCCACAUUUCACUCCAGAUCGUCCCGUCGUGCAGGAGACGGGGCAGGGAAAUGGCUGUGAUGGAGCCAGCUCAGAUGCCGGUGAGCUUCGAGGAGGUGGCUGUGUAUUUCACCCAGGGGCAGGGGGCUCUGCUGGACCCCGCUCAGAGAGCCCUCUACAGGGACGUCAUGCAGGACAACUAUGAGACAGUGACCUCGCUGGGUAAGCGAUUCCUGUCCCCUCAGUUAGUCAAAGCCGUGCAGCCCUUUAACGGGACAGUGUGGUCGCACGCCAGCACUGGGACAGAGCUGGUAAACCACCUCCAUGAGCAAGUUUCAGCGCAGUAACUUGCUAUUGUAGACAAGGCCUUAGUAGUGUAUCUCAUAAGUGUGCAUCUGUACACACUGUGUGGCUAGUGCUGUUGUGCUGUUAAUUUCAGACACACCAAAUACAUUUAUAUUGAGAGAUGUUUUCAAGACUUGGGCUUGCUUUAAUUGGAGCUCCACACUUCUUAUUCCUUGCUUCAAUAAUGUACCAAAAAUAUUGUGUCACGUGUCUGUGUAGCCCUCAAAAUCUUACCCAAGGCUGACAUUUCUCCUUGUAAUGUCUCAAUAUCAGAUGAACUUAAAACUCCAGUUCCAGCACCAAUUGCCACCACAAUGUAUUCUCUUAUGCCUCUUUUAUUUUGUAUAGUCCCGUCUCCCCAUGGUUGUCGCCAAGCAUGUAAUAGAGGUAAGGCAUAUGGCAUACACUGCAGAUGUUGUGCACUCAUGUUUAUUUGAGUUCUUUCCAACCGGAUUGUUUGGUCCACAAUAGUUGGGGCUUCAAUUAUUUCUCCCCUUCGAUAUGGGUGUUCAUCUGCCAUAAUUCUUGGUGCAAUCUUAUAUCCCUGAAAAUAUCCUCCCUCAUUAAUUUUCCUAAAGCAACUCAGUCUUAUCAUUAUGGAAAAAUCCACCAUCAUAUCAUAUUCCCAUAAUUUGAGAGCCAUUGACUCAUUCCAUCCCACAUGAAUAUUAGCCCAUUCUUGUUCAUGAGUCACGUCUAAGGUGACUACAUCAAAUCCCAAACUCCAAAAGAUACAGUUCAGAGUGCUCACGUUCAGACUAUUUUCAUCAUAACUACAUCUAAACAUUAGUCGACCUUCCUCUCUUAGUAUGAACAAAUAUCUCCAUUGCUCUUCCAAAUUGGUUGUAGUAUUUCCAUCUCACAUUUUUUCCAUCUUCCCACCAUAUUUUAAAUUUUACCUCAAAAGGUUUCUCUUCACAUAUGGUUUUGUUUGGUCCUGUUUUUUCCAUUCUGUCCCAGGAGUAGUCAAAUGUGUUAUCUCCUU